AAAUUUAACGAAAAAUGUUAGGCAUGUUACGGCAACAAGCAGCCACCAGAAUCUUAUCCAAACUAGAGCACCCCCUCCCUCCAGAAAAAUACAUCCCUGGGUAAUGAUGUAGCGAUUGAAGAUAGACAAUCUUUUCUGCUCUGGUUUCUUUCUUGAUAAAAAGCCCCCGUAGGUAAAAUAUUAUUUUUUAAUGUCUUCAAAAAAACAGGUCAAGUUCAGUCCUAGAAGGCUCGAUGGUUUUGGUCUUACAGAUGGUAAGGCUCUUGAAAUGCUCUGGGCUUACCCUCGUGUGCUCUCAGCAAUUACUAAGGAGAUGUCUGCCAGUAGAAGAGUAGAUCUUUUGACAGACGCGCUUCUUCACUUAUCUCGAAGAAAUUUUAGCAAUGCAGGUGCUUGAAUAUUGUCAUUGCUCUAUGUGUAACUAUGUGUUGACAAUGAAAAUGUUUUUAUUUGUUUGUUGCGCCUUAAUUAUUUUAAUUUUCUGUAUAUGAUUUGUUACUGGAAAAUCAUUAACGUCGAAGCUUAAAAAAAGUCUACAACUUAAAAUAAAAACGCAACAACAAAUGAAGGAUUUAUUUAGCGAACUACCUGGUAAGUAGUUCUGGUAGGUUAGAAAUUUCUUAUGUUUUCUGUGGCCGAAAAGUAUUUAAGGUUUCUUUUUGCCUAACCAAACUCUCAACUCAAUUUGCAUCCAAGGAAAAUAUGUUGUUAUUUAGUAAAGGCUUCUUCAUCGAAUUUAAAAUCUGUUAUGAAAAGAUAAAGAUUUAUUAGUAUUGAUUGUACUUCAAAAUAGCCUACUCGUUUUUACAAAAUACCCUACUAAAAAACGAAAUUUUUUUAUUGUAUGGGAAAAUACAAAACCUGUAGCAUAUAUAGUUACAUACGUAUUUAUUUUGUUUGUUAGUGACGUACGAUCCUGAAAUUGUUUGUUAGUGGGAGGCCAGAGAGAAGGAAAUUAUGUCAAGAGUCAACCCAGAACAUAAAGAAACCACGGAGAACUGGAAAGUGACGUAUGUUCAAAAACUACUGCAUUUUAAACAUCUUAGUGCUACAUCAUUCGGAUGUUUUGAAGAAAACCAUGAGAUAACUCUGAAGAUUACUCAAUUCAUCAGAUGUCGAAAAAACUGUACCAGUUUCAAAAGAUUUUACAAGAUAUUGAACGAAAGCAUUCUGUAAAAGAAAGAUGGAAACCUGGUCAUCCUAGUUUUGACGUCUUUGCAUUGCAAGCCAUACAAAGAAAACGAAAAGAUACUAUCGGAGCUUUACAUGGACUUUCCAUAGAAAGGCAUUUCUUAAUAACAUCGAGAAAGAAGUAUGCAGAGGGUCACGAACAAGAUGAAAUUAACAAUUGAGAAACACAAUGCUGCCAUUGGAUUCUCUUCCUGAUUUUAUAAACAGUUUAUUCGAUCGUCUGACAUUUGACAAAACGAAAGAUCCUACAUCAGACCUUUAUGAGGGAUUUGAGUUUGGUGAGGAUGACAUUCUAGGGGAAUCCUCGGUCCCAGUAUACACAAAGAGGAAAGCUAUUGAAAUGUACUUAACCCUAUAACGAUGUGACGAGGAAGAGAAACUUGUAAACUUGGAAAGAGAAAGGCUUCUAUUGUAUUACACCAAUCUUAGCUCAAAAAUUGAGGAAGCAUUUGCUGAUCUUGGUGAUUUGAGCAGCGAUUAAUUCAUGCUUGGUUCAAAGCAUGAACUGAUGAGACUUAAAACCAAAUUGCGGAAUGAGUUAUUCAGCUUGAAGAAAAGUUUUGAACUUCCACUUAAAGAAACGUUUCUUCUCCAGGCUGAGGUUGUAAACUUAACCUAUGAUGUCAACAUUCCCAAUGAAUCUGAAAGCUCAACGUAUGAGGAAUCCGAUACUGAAGAUGAAAACAUCGAAGAGUUCUCAGAAGUGGGCAGUGACAUUGAAUAGACGACAUAGCUACUAUUCGUAAACUAAUAGCUACUUUUUAUGUACUUACUUAUUAUGUAAUUUAGUUGUUCACGUAUCUAGUAUAAUAACUGAUAUCACGCAAACAUUUGUGGUUUUGUGACGUCAUGUUAGU
This is a long non-coding RNA of Xenia sp. Carnegie-2017, 2048 nucleotides long. RefSeq lists it as uncharacterized. NCBI's taxonomy places the organism in Eukaryota, Metazoa, Cnidaria, Anthozoa, Malacalcyonacea, Xeniidae. The transcript has 5 exons. The record is from RefSeq and is a predicted model, not a curated record.